GAAAAGAGUUGGAUUGGAGAAUCUGUUGUUCCAGGAUGAAAGUCUGCAAGUAUCUACUGUCUGAGGACCAGUCCAGAUGAGUGAUGAAACUAAGUGAUCCCACACAUUCCCCCAUUUUUUUGUAACGCUGAGAAACUCCAUAAAUAUCAACUGAGCUGUCGUUGCAUCCAACAGCAAGGUAAGUUCCAUCUGGUGAAUAUUUUAACUCAUGAAUUGCCUCUUUCCUAUCUUUAAUAUGUACAACUUCCGUCAUAUCUCUGUAAAGAAAAAAAAAACAUUAAACCAUAUGAAAAAAGUCACUAUAGAAUUAGUUGUUUCCAAA
Molecule: long non-coding RNA, 322 nt
Organism: Myotis myotis
Lineage: Eukaryota; Metazoa; Chordata; Mammalia; Chiroptera; Vespertilionidae
Exons: 2
Source: RefSeq, a predicted model, not a curated record